UCAAAAAAACCGUUGGUAUAUAAUUGGAUGCUUUAUAUCUGUCCAUUUUAAUGUUUCUCUGCGCAGUGCUCUAUGGGACACAGUGUAUUCCCGCGUAGCAACGUUGCAUUGCGUGUUAUGGCUUCUUCCCUUGUCUUUUGAGAUCUCGGUCAGAGAGAAUUGAUAGUAAUCGUUACUUUUGUAUUCUAAAUCAUACACUAUCAACGUUUAAAUUCUGGAAACUUUUCAAAUUUUAACGUUUCUAUUUCAGCAUGUCCUCGACCAAUCACAAAAAGGAAGACACCAGUUAUCGAACACAUCGAGCCAAUCGUUUAUCUCGAAAUUAUUUUUGUGUAUCUUCUUUUUCGAUAACGAGCAUCACACGAUAUAAAACGAAAUUAAAACGCUAUCUAGUUAAUACAAUGGUAUACACAAAUGAAUUAAUUUGAUCGUGGAUCUUUUCAAGCUGCUGAUAUAACAUUGUCUGACGCCAAACCAUUGUGAUUGACAUCGAAUCAACGUUACAUAAAGAUACUUAGAUCGUCUUAUAGAACGAGCCAAAGGUGUGAACGUGAUAAAAAUCCCGAAUCACAUUUGAUUCCGGAUAAAUAAACGGUUUUUUUAAAAAGCAUUGUUCCUCGAUAUUUUGAUAAAAACACGUAUAAUAACGAAUAAAUGAAUUGAUUUUAGAUACAAGGAAGAGAAACGUUAAAAAACAUUAGUAGGAAAAGAAAGUAAGUUUAUUUGAAAAUUCUGUUUUCAGAAAGUAUAAGUAAGAAACAUAAAAUUUUAAAAAUCAAGUAAAUCUUUAUUACUAUGUUAAUUUAUAAAAAGAUAAUUAAAGAAAGAGAAGAUAUCGAUCAAGAAAAGAGAUUUUAAUCGAUUAUUUUUCAUUUUCCUUGUACACUUAUUCUUUAAAUCGCAAUCAGAUAUA
Apis laboriosa (Himalayan honeybee) is the source of this 913-nucleotide long non-coding RNA. RefSeq lists it as uncharacterized. The record is from RefSeq and is a predicted model, not a curated record. NCBI's taxonomy places the organism in Eukaryota, Metazoa, Arthropoda, Insecta, Hymenoptera, Apidae. The transcript has 3 exons.